AGCGAACGCUGGCGGCAGGCCUAGCACAUGCAAGUCGAACGGAUCCUUCGGGAUUAGUGGCGGACGGGUGAGUAACACGUGGGAACGUGCCCUUUGGUUCGGAACAACUCAGGGAAACUUGAGCUAAUACCGGAUGUGCUCUUCGGGGGAAAGAUUUAUCGCCAUUGGAGCGGCCCGCGUCCGAUUAGCUAGUUGGUGAGGUAACGGCCCACCAAGGCGACGAUCAGUAGCUGGUCUGAGAGGAUGAUCAGCCACACUGGGACUGAGACACGGCCCAGACUCCUACGGGAGGCAGCAGUGGGGAAUCUUGCGCAAUGGGCGAAAGCCUGACGCAGCCAUGCCGCGUGAAUGAUGAGGGUCUUAGGAUUGUAAAAUUCUUUCAGCGGGGACGAUAAUGACGGUACCCGCAGAAGAAGCUCCGGCUAACUUCGUG
RNAcentral lists this ribosomal RNA (433 nucleotides) under uncultured bacterium. RNAcentral's name for it is "partial 16S ribosomal RNA". It matches the Rfam family "Bacterial small subunit ribosomal RNA", at positions 29 to 507 of the family's 1533-position model. The record is from RNAcentral.